Molecule: ribosomal RNA, 559 nt
Filed under: uncultured marine eubacterium OTU_F
Lineage: Bacteria; Pseudomonadati; Pseudomonadota; Gammaproteobacteria
Description: bacterial SSU rRNA
Rfam family: Bacterial small subunit ribosomal RNA
Source: RNAcentral
UACGGGAGGCAGCAGUGGGGAAUAUUGCACAAUGGGGGAAACCCUGAUGCAGCCAUGCCGCGUGUGUGAAGAAGGCCUUCGGGUUGUAAAGCACUUUCAGUUGUGAGGAAAGUUUAGUAGUUAAUACCUGCUAGAUGUGACGUUAGCAACAGAAGAAGCACCGGCUAACUCCGUGCCAGCAGCCGCGGUAAUACGGAGGGUGCGAGCGUUAAUCGGAAUUACUGGGCGUAAAGCGCACGCAGGCGGUCUGUUAAGCUAGAUGUGAAAGCCCCGCGCUCAACGUGGGAGGGUCAUUUAGAACUGGCAGACUAGAGUCUUGGAGAGGGGAGUGGAAUUCCAGGUGUAGCGGUGAAAUGCGUAGAGAUCUGGAGGAACAUCAAUGGCGAAGGCAACUCCCUGGCCAAAGACUGACGCUCAUGUGCGAAAGUGUGGGUAGCGAACAGGAUUAGAUACCCUGGUAGUCCACACCGUAAACGCUGUCUACUAGCUGUUUGUGAAUUUAAUUCGUGAGUAGCGAAGCUAACGCGAUAAGUAGACCGCCUGGGGAGUACGGCCGCAA